This 1539-nucleotide unclassified non-coding RNA is filed under the name Leishmania donovani. RNAcentral's name for it is "gene:LdHU3.32.0640(CDS-product:hypothetical_prote in_conserved)". The record is from RNAcentral. Lineage: Eukaryota; Euglenozoa; Kinetoplastea; Trypanosomatida; Trypanosomatidae.
CUUCUCUCAGGAAAUGAUUGCGUCAGGUGCCACUGCAUCAGAAGGGGAAAAUCCGCCUCGAGAUGCACGUACUGUUUCAUUUCAUCCGGAGUCGACCUUUCAUGAGCAGCACAAUGCCGCAUCGCAGCGAGUCUUUCACACAAGUGAGCCAGGCUGGGAAUCCCGAGAAAGCAACUCGGGAUAUGCAGCUCAGGACGGCGGGGACACUGCCAACGAGGGUAUCCGAAGAAGCUACUUCAAGCGCCUUUACAGAUUUUACAGGAAGUACAAUCCUCAAAACUGUGCAAUGUAGAGAAGCUGCUACGCGAGUGUCGAGGUGAGGAAGAGCAGCUUUUUGCAAUCUUGGUGGGAAAAUAUGGUCCGGAGCCGGAGGAAGAGAGUUCCAUGUUGAGUGGUGAUUCAGUGUUCUCCAGCGCGGGUGAUUCUGUUAUGCACUACUCGGGAAAGCGAUGCCAGUUUCCCAAAAAAGUGAAGCCAGAGGAGGGAAACACCGACUGUGAAACACCGUACUGGGCAGGAGCUUCCUCGCUGAUAGGUGACCGUGAUUUGCUUGGCCUUUUGCAGAAUUUGGAGACCCCGAACGUUGAGCUGCAGAGGUGCUACAUGGGUGUUUUUGCGGAGCAUCCGACGGACUGCUGGAACGGAAUGGCAUACAUUACACGAGCGGAGGGUAUCGCUCCCGCUAAUACGAAGUUUCUCGGACAUACUUGGGUCGGAACGCUUGGCAGCGGUAAAGUCCUCGUUCACGAGGGCAAAAAGUUUCACCGCACGACACUUUACUGUACUGAGGAGUGUCAGAAGACGGGCAAUCAUGAACGAUGGAGGCUCUCCGUCUACCGCGGCGAACUGAAUUACUUGAUUCUUCUGCGCACGGUGUGGGACCCGGUGGUUAUCCCUGAACCCUUGCCCUUGAACCGAUCAAAUUUGUCAGAGCGCGAAGUGCACUCCUCUUUGGACGGAUUUCCCACGCGGCUUUCUAGUAUGAGCUCGGCCGAUUCCGGGGGCAGCGGCAGUCGACAGCCGAUUCAGCCGCCGCAACCACAGCAGCAUUCCGUGACUCCUGCCCUUGUUCACUUUACAAAACUUCUUGAGGAGUUAGAAUCACGUAUUAUAGAGCGCCUCGAAGGUCUGGAAAGACGAAUGUCUCGCCUAGAAAGUAUGUGAAAGUGGUGAUCUACUGCUCAGCUGCUGUUAUCUCCGUUUUUUCUUUCUGUGUAGAGAGACUCAACGAUAAUUCUUAUUCACCUUUGUUGUUCAUCUCUCUCCUUGCCUUGUGCUCGUCAUGGAGCCGGAAAAAAAAAAACAUACUCUAAAUGUCAUGCACUUCUCUUUGUUUCUCAGGUGUGAGAUUUUUCUUCAUCUCAUCUGCUUGACUGGGGGUUGUUGUAGGGCCGCAAGUAGCUCUUCCUGAGUUUUGCAAGGUGCUCAUCGUACCAAAAAAAAAACACGGUGCGCUCCGACUCGGUUUCUGAAGCCGCUAAUCAUAUUACUUCAUCCUAUGCAUCAUUAUCUUCCUUGGCCAAUAUUCAUACGUUCUAG